AGCUAAUACCGAAUAGUUCUUCAGACCGCAUGGUCUGAUGAUGAAAGGCGCUCCGGCGUCACCUUGGGAUGGCCUUGCGGUGCAUUAGCUAGUUGGUGGGGUAACGGCCCACCAAGGCGACGAUGCAUAGCCGACCUGAGAGGGUGAUCGGCCACACUGGGACUGAGACACGGCCCAGACUCCUACGGGAGGCAGCAGUAGGGAAUCUUCCACAAUGGACGAAAGUCUGAUGGAGCAACGCCGCGUGAGUGAUGAAGGUUUUCGGAUCGUAAAACUCUGUUGUAAGGGAAGAACAAGUACGAGAGGGAAUGCUCGUACCUUGACGGUACCUUGCGAGAAAGCCACGGCUAACUACGUGCCAGCAGCCGCGGUAAUACGUAGGUGGCAAGCGUUGUCCGGAAUUAUUGGGCGUAAAGCGCGCGCAGGCGGCCUUUUAAGUCUGAUGUGAAAGCCCCCGGCUCAACCGGGGAGGGUCAUUGGAAACUGGAAGGCUUGAGUACAGAAGAGAAGAGUGGAAUUCCAUGUGUAGCGGUGAAAUGCGUAGAGAUGUGGAGGAACACCAGUGGCGAAGGCGACUCUUUGGUCUGUAACUGACGCUGAGGCGCGAAAGCGUGGGGAGCAAACAGGAUUAGAUACCCUGGUAGUCCACGCCGUAAACGAUGAGUGCUAGGUGUUGGGGGGUUUCCGCCCCUCAGUGCUG
Molecule: ribosomal RNA, 700 nt
Filed under: Exiguobacterium artemiae
Lineage: Bacteria; Bacillati; Bacillota; Bacilli; Caryophanales
Description: bacterial SSU rRNA
Rfam family: Bacterial small subunit ribosomal RNA
Source: RNAcentral